UCCCACCCAACCCUCCUCACCAAGAAAGAGGUGAGGAAGGAAAUGGAGAGGCUGACCACGGAGCUGAAGCUAAUGACCAGUCAAAGAAAUGAGCUACGGGAUCACCUGAUCUUUGUCACUGAAGGAACCAUGGACAAUAGUCUCUACCACAAGCCAAAUUCUGUAAGAAACUGAAGUUGGAGCAUAAAGAGAUCAUGUCAAAAUUAAAGAGCUUGCAGAAUGAGAACACUGAGUCCUCAGAGAAGUUCAGUGAUCUGACCAAGGAGAGUCUUCUGUCGUGGUCUGCACAUCUGGCUCCUGAUGGAACAGACUCAGCUGGAGAAGAAGGUGGGCAUGCUGAGGCAGGAGAACAAGAAACUAAUGGAGGAUUGGAUCCUGCUGAAGCACCAUUCGAAGGACUUGAAAUUGAUCUGUAAGGACCAAGAGGAAGAGACCAGUGACCUCCAAACCCAGCAAUAACAGGUCCAGAAAGCUUUAGCCUGAGCUGGAACAGGCCACAGCCCAGGAUGAGGGCCCCUUGCAGAGGGAGGCUCUACAGCAAGAGCCACCUGCUGAGCCCCAUUCCCAGCAACUGCUGAAAUGUGGGAAUGAAGUUUCUUCUUCAGAUUUGGUUUCCAUUGUGGAAUAGGCCUUGAUUGUGCCUAGCCAGUGACCCAGCAUGGCUGCUUCUGAGUCUUGACUCCCUUUCCCUCUUGACAACACCUUUUGUGAGAACUGAGGAAGAAAAAGGAAGCCACAGACAACCAGAGAGCAUGGCAUUCACCACCCUUGGAUCUAGGCCUCCUCAGAAAACGACACCCUUUGUAGCUGUGAACUCAGAAGGAGGAAAAUCCCUUACCCUUGGGGAGAACAUGGCAUAUAAAGCCCCAAAGAGGAAUGGCUAUACUCCUCUUGAAAAUGCUGUUAUAAUUGGUGACUGUCUUCCUACCGUGUCUCCAAGGCCAGCCACAGGUGGUAGAUCUGUGCUGUUCACUCUGCAGUGAGAGAAUGCUGCUUAAUUUUAUUUGGGUUUUGGUUUAGGUUUUUGCUUUUCCUUGUUUUGGCUUUGGUUUUGUUAUUUUGAUGUUAUUUGCUCUUCUUGUUUUUCAUAAUUUGCUAAGGCUAUUCCCUGUUUAUACUGACUGCUCUUUUAGAGCCCCUUUUGAGGAAAAUUUAUUUUUUAUGAAUAAAAAAGCAAUUUCUAACUCUUCA
Peromyscus eremicus (cactus mouse) is the source of this 1191-nucleotide long non-coding RNA. RefSeq lists it as uncharacterized. NCBI's taxonomy places the organism in Eukaryota, Metazoa, Chordata, Mammalia, Rodentia, Cricetidae. The record is from RefSeq and is a predicted model, not a curated record. The transcript is spliced from 4 exons.